RNAcentral lists this ribosomal RNA (390 nucleotides) under Filifactor alocis. Its description in RNAcentral is "bacterial SSU rRNA". It matches the Rfam family "Bacterial small subunit ribosomal RNA", at positions 28 to 397 of the family's 1533-position model. The record is from RNAcentral. Lineage: Bacteria; Bacillati; Bacillota; Clostridia; Peptostreptococcales; Filifactoraceae.
GAUGAACGCGGGCGGCGUGCUUAACACAUGCAAGUCGAACGAACGACUAUUAACAGAACCUUUCGGGGCGAAGAUGAUAGAAGUUAGUGGCGGACGGGUGCGUAACGCGUGGGUAAUCUGCCUUUGUCAAAGGAAUAACUAUUCGAAAGAAUAGCUAAAACCGUAUAAAAUAUUAAUAGGGCAUCCUAAUAAUAUCAAAACUGUGGACAAAGAUGAGCCCGCGUCUGAUUAGCUAGUUGGUGAGAUAAAAGCCCACCAAGGCAACGAUCAGUAGCCGACCUGAGAGGGUGAACGGCCACAUUGGAACUGAGACACGGUCCAAACUCCUACGGGAGGCAGCAGUGGGGAAUAUUGCACAAAUGGGGGGAAACCCCUGAUGCAAGCAAACGC